This is a non-coding RNA of Paramuricea clavata, 230 nucleotides long. Lineage: Eukaryota; Metazoa; Cnidaria; Anthozoa; Malacalcyonacea; Plexauridae. The record is from the annotation of a GenBank genome assembly.
AUCAGUUCAGAUUUUUAAUAUCAUUAUGACUCGCGCAUGCGCUUUCGGUUUGAUCGCGGUAUUGUUGGAUCAGUUGUUGGAUGUAGCGUUCCGGUUCCAGUUAUAUUCAUUUCCCUGCUUUGUUAUCAACCCAUCCUCUUGGUUUGUUGAUGUAUAUCAUCAUACGGUUAUCCUUGAAUCUAUGAAGACUAUGAUGUAUAUCAUCAUACAGACACAUUCAUCUAUGCCUG